RNAcentral lists this unclassified non-coding RNA (215 nucleotides) under Hevea brasiliensis (rubber tree). The record is from RNAcentral. Lineage: Eukaryota; Viridiplantae; Streptophyta; Magnoliopsida; Malpighiales; Euphorbiaceae.
AAAUGUAGUUUCCUCCCUAGGAGGGUAGAGGUUUCUAUACAUCUCAAAUCAUCAUCAUAAUCAGAAUCAUCCGAGUUUAAGUUGAAGCCAGAUUCAGAAUUAACAGAAAUUAAACUAAUUAUUAAACCAGAUUCGAAUAUCUGGUUGGAUUUGGUUUCAAACACGUUUACCAGGUUGGAUUUGAUUUAUCCAAUUCUGCUUGAUGCGAUUUCAAA